This is a long non-coding RNA of Equus asinus (donkey), 1656 nucleotides long. The record is from Ensembl. NCBI's taxonomy places the organism in Eukaryota, Metazoa, Chordata, Mammalia, Perissodactyla, Equidae.
AGAUGAGACCUGGAAUUACCUGCAGGCUCGCUCACUCAUCAGUGGUGGUGAGCUGCUGCCAGUUGAGACUUUAGCUGGGGCACUUAGCCAGAAUGCCUACACACAGCCUCUCCAUGUGACCUGGGCUUCCUCACAACGUCGUCCUUGGAUUCCAAGGGUGAACAUCCCAAGAGAGAGAGCCAGAUGGAACCCUUAUGACCUUGCCUUGGAAAAUAAAGAAAACUUCCCUGCAGUUCUUGAGGUAAAGGAGAGGUCUCCGUCUCCGUCUCUGUUUGGACAGCUGAACUCUCUCUCCUUAACCUCCUGGAAGAGGAGGGCUGCUGACUUCCGGGCCCUGGGAAUAUUGCAUUUCCUCCUGCUCCAGGACUGGGAAAGAACCUUAAAGAUCCUUGGAGGUGGCUUGAAAGCCAAUUUUGGGAGCCAGAACUGGAGAGAGGACUGAGGGAGUCUUCGAGAGAUCCAGACACUUCCUCACCUCCUAUUUCGACUGCAACAGCUUCUCUUUGAACUUUCUAUAAAUUGGAAUUCUGCGGAGGGAUUGGUUUUAAAAGGGGGUUCUGCUUCUUUUAAAAAAUUAUCUGGCGUAGACCAGUGUGCCAAAAAUAACUGCAGUGUUUAAAUUAAACCAUUAUAGAAUCUACUCUUAAAUUAACUGUUAGACUUCCUAAGACCCAAGGGAGUGAACAAAGUUGGCUGUUGUGAAGAAAGAAGCUGACAAACGACGUGGCCCCACGUUGAAGCAGCAAAAGAUUCUGGAAGGCAGCUGCUCCAUGGAGCUUUUCUGAGCAUGCUCUCCAAGUCCUAUAGCGGAGUUCCUUAAUUCCUAGAGGACGCUCUUGCAUUCUUGGCUGUUUUCUGUAGUAAGGUGACCACUGACCAUUUUGACUGCUUCAGAUCAGUUUUGUGCUUUGACUUCAAAUGUCAAAGCACAUUUGUAUGUGCUUUGAGAAAUGUAAUGAGAGAUCUGUGUUCACAGGGCACAUAGUAGUUUGAGAAAUGUGCUCAAUAAAUGCUUGUUGUUGAUUGAAUACAUAGUUUUGAAAAUAAUAUUUAACUUUUCUUCUAGAAUACUAACUGGACUCAGAGACUGACCACAGUCACUUGUGACAGUAUCUAACUAGACAUUGUCCUAUUUUCUCCCUAAAAUCCAACUUCAUUACUUUAUGAAUUUCAACCUAACAUCUACCUGUGCUUAGAGGUUUUGCUUUAAUGGAAGAAACAAUCCAUUAUAUAGACUGCAAAUGUUCUCAUAUUUAUCACAGGUAAAUAAAGGAAACUGUCUUUAGAAUAAAGUUUAUUUUUAUUAAGUAUUAGCUCCUAGUUGUUUAAUUUUUAUAAAGGACUCAUUAGAGGAGCAUCCUUGUUGGUUGGCUGUUUUGAUGUUAUUUUCCUCUUAAUUUUAUCCUAAAAAAGAUAGAGUGUAAAUAAUAAUACUAUAUAUUUGUAUCUUGAUUUGUAGUUUAUCAAAUAUUACAUCUGUUUGUCAUAACAAUCCUGAAAAGUAUGUAUUAUUAUCUCCACUUUAAAGAUGAGUGAAAUAGCUAAAUCACUAGUUCAGUGUCCUAUACCCAGCACCUAGCACUGUUUACCUGCAUUUUUAGGGCGGGUGUGUUUAGUUAAGAGACAACGAGUAGGUAACUGUUCUUAACCCUGGAU